CUUGAUCCAUCCCUUCUCAUGUUUGGUGGGUUCAUUGGGUGGAAAACGAAAUAUCACUGUGCAACUAAAAAUUUGCUCACGGUAGAUAACACAAAAAAUUCACAACUCAUAACACCUGUACACACCAUUUAAAGCUCAUGGGCAGUUAAUACAUAAAGAAAGCCAGAAAACAUGGGAGAGAGACCCUCUUCGUGAUUUUGAAUGAGCCAAUCACCUAACAACAUGGAAUACAGAAAGCAACAUCUAUGAGGGAAGACACAGAAACUUGUACUAAUAGUGCUCCAUAGGAGAAGAUGCAAGAAAAGAUGAUCUGCUGCUGGUACCAGAGGUGAGGUUUACUUUGUUACAAAAGAAUGAAAGAUCAUUGACACCCAACAGCAGAAACUGCAUGGUCUAUACCCUUACCAUCAUACUACCACAAGUAGAACCAGAAAAAAAUUGGCAUAACCUAAAGUGAGAAACCAACAAAAGUGAGAAUUUACAGCAAAGUCAAACUUCAAAAUAAAUCUGCAAACCCAGGGACUUCCAAGCACAUGAGGCCAAGUAUUCUGCUAGACGUUCUUUUCUGCAACCGACAGAUCUUCUCAUUUUCCAUACCAUUAUAGAGCAAAAUCAGAAAACUUACGAAUACAACUGCACCAACAAAUACAGACCUUAUCCAAUUCUGUAAAUACCCAAAAAAUCAUCAACCAUCUCUGGUCAUCAGGAAAAUGAACAGAUAAUAAUGGCAAGAAACCUCAAAAAAAUCAUCCUAGACUCCUCCCAACCACCAAGCUUCCAACAGCUACAAACCAUGGAGAAGAAACCUGCACCUGGGAGAAAAUUGAAACCCACCAGAUCAGAUAAGACAACUGGCAGAAGAAAAGAACUCGAGUUGCCUGCCCUCCCCAUUAUGACCAAGCAGGGAUGUUUAUAGAGUAACACGAUGAAACAAAUGAGUACAAGAUUAAGUAGAGAGAUAUCAACACCAAACCAUCAAAGACAAACAUAUAAAGAUCAUGUAAUCAAAACCACCAGACAUUCUCAUUAUCACAUUAUGCAAGACCUGAAUAAAAUCUUGCACACAUGGAGCCACUAUCAACAUCUCUAACCAUCAGAAAGAGGCUGCCAGCUCUACCCCCAUUAGGGGAAGGGGGAGAAAGAAGAUAGGUCUUAACCGAAACCUGAUUCACAAAAGAAUUCCAAGAGAACUCCUAAGAACCUGCACCUAAAAUCAUAGUCGGAACCCUCUUCACCAAAAUGUUGUUUCCUAAUGAUACAACCAAGAAAAUCAAAGCACAGUGGAACAUACUCAUAGAUUAUAUACAAGGAAAAAUUAUUUUUAAAAAAAACAGAAAACUCCUCUAAAAUCAUACGAUAUCCAAAGUAUAACAGCCAUACGUAAAGUGCAACAUGUGAAUGAAGAGUUAUACUCCAUGAAUGGAGGCAAAGACAGC
Molecule: long non-coding RNA, 1436 nt
Filed under: Solanum tuberosum (potato)
Lineage: Eukaryota; Viridiplantae; Streptophyta; Magnoliopsida; Solanales; Solanaceae
Description: long non-coding RNA (STUB_LNC004799)
Source: RNAcentral